GACGAACGCUGGCGGCGUGCUUAACACAUGCAAGUCGAACGAUGAAGCGGUGCUUGCACCGUGGAUUAGUGGCGAACGGGUGAGUAAUACGUGAGUGACCUACCUUUGACUCUGGGAUAAGCCUGGGAAACUGGGUCUAAUACCGGAUACGACCAAUCUCUGCAUGGGGUGUUGGUGGGAAGCGUUAUGGAGUGGUUUUAGAUGGGCUCACGGCCUAUCAGCUUGUUGGUGAGGUAAUGGCUUACCAAGGCGACGACGGGUAGCCGGCCUGAGAGGGUGACCGGCCACACUGGGACUGAGACACGGCCCAGACUCCUACGGGAGGCAGCAGUGGGGAAUAUUGCACAAUGGGCGCAAGCCUGAUGCAGCGACGCCGCGUGAGGGAUGACGGCCUUCGGGUUGUAAACCUCUGUUAGCAUCGAAGAAGCGAAAGUGACGGUAGGUGCAGAGAAAGCGCCGGCUAACUACGUGCCAGCAGCCGCGGUAAUACGUAGGGCGCGAGCGUUGUCCGGAAUUAUUGGGCGUAAAGAGCUUGUAGGCGGUUGGUCGCGUCUGCUGUGAAAGGCCGGGGCUUAACUCCGGUUUUGCAGUGGGUACGGGCUAACUAGAGUGCAGUAGGGGAGACUGGAAUUCCUGGUGUAGCGGUGGAAUGCACAGAUAUCAGGAGGAACACCGAUGGCGAAGGCAGGUCUCUGGGCUGUAACUGACGCUGAGAAGCGAAAGCAUAGGGAGCGAACAGG
Molecule: ribosomal RNA, 740 nt
Filed under: Rothia dentocariosa
Lineage: Bacteria; Bacillati; Actinomycetota; Actinomycetes; Micrococcales; Micrococcaceae
Description: bacterial SSU rRNA
Rfam family: Bacterial small subunit ribosomal RNA
Source: RNAcentral